Molecule: ribosomal RNA, 564 nt
Filed under: Triticum aestivum (bread wheat)
Lineage: Eukaryota; Viridiplantae; Streptophyta; Magnoliopsida; Poales; Poaceae
Description: partial small subunit ribosomal RNA
Source: RNAcentral
AUGGUGUCCGUCAGCUUCAAGAUCCAUGGAGCCGUUGCUGCUCUCCUCCUGGGCUCCCUCCUCCUCUGUUCCGGUGCGUCCAUGGACGAGCCGGCUGCCUACAAGCAUGUCGCUCCAGCUCCGGCGCCGGCGCCGAUCCAGCCGGUGAUCAUCGUCCAGGGUCUCAUCUACUGCAAGUCCUGCAACCUCCGCGGCUACAACGCCGGCAUGGACGCCUCGCCUCUCGCCAACGCGACGGCGAAGCUGGUGUGCUACGGGAGCAAGGGCGGGUACAGGGUGCUGAACAUGACGAGCACGGCGACGGACGAGAGCGGCUACUUCCUGGUGAUGGUGUACGACCUGUCCAUGUUCAGCCGGCGCAGCUGCCGGGUGUACCUCCGCACCUCGCCCACGCCGCUCUGCGACGCGCCCUUCCUCCCGGCCGACGCCUCGCUGGGGAUCGUCCUCAAGAGGGAGGAGGUGAGGCCGUCGUCGCCGGCGGGCGUGCGCGGCGUCUACAGCGCCAGGACCGCGCUCAUGUACGCGCCGCGCAAGGGCGGCAAGUGCCCCGCCUACAACUACUGA